UUUCUUUUUUCUCUCCUCUUUAGUCUCUCCCCUCUUCUCUCCAGAUUCUCUCUCUCCCCAUAUCUCGAGUAAACAGAGGGGUAAGAUAACAUUAUCCUUGAGAGAUCAAAGACAGUUGCUACUUUUUAAAUGUUAACAAGGGGCCCCAAAUUCAAGCUCGGUUAUUCGCGUGUUUCUCGUAACUACGAAAGGUGUUACUCUUGCUAUUCGUUUGUCGGCAUCAUUUCCAUUCUUUUCUUUAAAAUAUACGGACAAUAUGAAGGUUGUGUUUAAGGAAGUCUACGUCAGUUUCAAUACAUAAUCUUCAUAGGAAUUAAAAGAGAUAUCUUAUGUCUUUGUCAUUGUUGCUUGCUAUUACUUUUCCCAUAUUUUAAUGAAUAAUAACAAAUUUCCCAACUAAAGCUGCUACUCUAACAAACUUUGCUCAAAAUCCUCUUUCUUACUAUUCUUUUUUAUCUUAUUUAUAUACUCUGUAAAGUGUCAAUAGAUCAGCUAACCUCAUGUACUAGUAAAAGGUAAUCACUGAAUUGAAUGAUAAUGUAUUGAAAAUUCUUUCCAACUAUCCUGCCCUUCACCAAGAACAAACCUAUUGCAGAAAAUUCAAGUACUAUUUUAAGAUAAGCCGUUUUACCCUUAAAUCUUGUCCUUUAAUUAACAAAGAUGAAUAUUACGAAUUGUUGUUCCAACCGGCAACUACCAUGCCCUAAGUUCUUCAAAGGAAUAAAAUCUAUUGGAGAAUGCUCAAGGAAAAUUCAAAGUUACCGUUACACCAUCUUCUCUUAUAAUUAAAUUCUUGCAUUUCCUUUGCUAUCUAUUCAUAUGGAUAGGAUAUUAGUUGUCAAUAUGUUAAUUUCAAUAUCGAAAAAACUGUGAUCAAUUCGAAGUUAAGUUACGACGCAUUACUUUCAUCCAUUACAGGGCAUCUAUCAGUUGAUACACAAUUACAACUGUGACGACCCGGCCGAUCAUCUUAAGAAUUAACGCCUCGAUCUCCUAUUAAAUGCUUCACCCAAGUUUAUUUCUUCUACUUUGGUUUCCCGGGCCAUUCGGUUUUGAGUUUCGGAGAAUUUUAGGACACUUAGUAUGAGAGCUUAAGUGUUGGAAAGUAGUUCGUAGUUGGAACAGUAUGAAGACGGUCUCGAAAUAGAAAUAUGAUGGUUCUGAUAGCUCCCUUGGGUGAUUUUGGGGUUGGGGGCAUAUUCGGAUUAUGUAUUCGAGGUCCAUAGCUAAUUUAGGCUUGAAAUGCCAAAGUUUGAAUUUUGGAAGUUUCCAGUUCGAUAGUGAGAUUUUGAUCCGAGGGUCGGAAUGAAAUUCCAGAAGAUGCAGUAGUUUCUUCAUGUCAUUUCGGAGGUGUGUGAAAAAUUAUAGGUCAUUCGGACGAGGUUUGAUAAUCUUUUAGAUCGAAAAUGUGUUUUUAGAGUUUUUGAAAUUCUUAAGGUCGAAUUCAAUAAAAGUAGAUUUUUUGAUGUUGUUUAUGGUGUUACAGUGUUGGAAAAAAGUUUGAAUAAUGCUAUGGGACAUGUUCGUAGGUUUGGUUGAGGUCCCCGGGGACUCUUGUGUGUUUCAGAUGCUCAACAGGUCAUUUUUAGAAAUUAGAAAAUUGCAGAAAAACUGUCAGCUGAUAUCCUUCUUCACGUUCGCGUCUUCUCCUCCGCGUUCGCGAAGAGUAAUCUUGGAGGAGGCCCUAUUGUUCUUCGCGUUCGCGUUAAGCCUUCCGCAUUCACGAAGGUUUGCCUUUUUCCUUCUUCGCGUUCGCAUCCAACUCCUCUCAUUCGUGUAGUAUAAUUUGGCGCUAAGGGGUUGUGGCUAUUUACUUUUUCACGCUCACGUCACAGCCUCCGCUUUUGCGUAAGCCCUCCCCUUUUAAUCUCUGCAUUUGCGUCCCAUAUCCCGCGUUCGCGAUGGCCUUUUUCUUGGCAGUUUCAAUUCUUUCUUCGCGAAUGAUGGUCCUUCCGCAUUUGCGAUGCACAAAUCACCUGGGCAGAUAUAAGAUUUCAAAAUCGAGGGUUAAGCUAUUUUUAUCCAAACGUAAGCUUGAGAGCUCGGAUUGGAGCGACAUUUAGAGGGAUUUUUAGUUAUAUCGAUUGGGUAAGGAUUCUAAACUCCUUUUUGCUUGUAACCCACUAAUAUAAGCAUGAACUCCUCCUUUAAUUUCGGAUUUUGAAUGAAAAUUUGAUAAAACUUCAUAGACCGAAUUAUUGAGUUUUGAUUAGGUUUCUGACAUUCGAUUUGAGAGAUUUUUAUAUGGUUAGACUCGUGUGAGUGUGAGGAUUCUGAAAAUAUAAAUUUCACUCGAUUCCGAGAUGUUGGCCUGAGGGGCAUUUUGGUUAUUGCAUCUUAGCUUUGAAUUAAAUCAUAGAAUCAAUUGCUUGAUAUGUUACUUACAUUAUGUAAUUGAAUUGAAUAGAUUUGGGCCAUUUGGAGUCGUAUACUCAUGGCAAAAGCGUGGUUUCUAGUUAAUUUGAGUCGGUUCGAGGUUAGUGGCUUGUCUAACCUUGUGUGGGGGACCUUCCCCUUAGGAUUUGUACAUUUGGUAAUUGAAUUGCCUUGUGCGUGAGGUGACGAGCGCGUACUUGUACAAAUUGUAGGAAAUCUAGUUCUUCUUAAAGUAUUUAUUAGCAUGUUUCCUUUCCUGCUAUAUUAUACUUGUAAAUUUAGAUGUUGUUAGCUAGAAGAGCAUGUUAAGUUUACUUAAAUUGCCUUGAUUGCACUAUGUGAAGCAUGUUAGGCUAGAAUUACUUGUUUCCAUAAUUAUAAAUUUCAUUUCUAAAUAUCUUCUUGUUGUUGUUGCGUAUUUACAUUGGGACUACGGAUGUGGGAUUCUGGUAGCUCCCAUUUGUUUGUUUACUUUGCGACUACGGGUUAGAUUUCCGGUAGAUCCCCCUGCACAGUUAUAUGGAACUACGGGAAUGCAUCUCGUAGAUUCCCCCAGUACUGGGUAUUUAUAUUUGGGACUACGGAUCGGGGUUUUGGUAGAUCCUCGCGCAUUGAUAAUUGUACUACGGGACGGUAUCCCAGGAGAUCCAUUGGACAGUUGAUGAAAGGGACUACAGGACGGUAUCCUAGGAGAUCUCUUUGUUUCCAUUGGUAUUGAACUUGUUCUUAUUUCCUUCUUUACUCCGUUCUUGUAUAUUUGUUGUUGUCUUGUAUAACCUGUCUUAUUUCACUGUUGUACUCCUUUACAUUGUCUAUUUCAUACUGUAAAAACUUUAUGUUAUGUUUAACCUAAGUAGGGCCCUGACCUUCCUCGUCACUACCCGACCGAGGUUAGGCUUGGCACUUACUGAGUAACGCUAUGGUGUACUCAUGCCUUUUCUUUGCAUGCUUUUCAUGUGCAGAUCUAGGUACCUCUGCAUAGGCUUACCAUCCUUGAGGUAGGGAGCAUUUUGGAGACUUCGAGAUGCAUCUUCCGCGUCCGCAGAUCGAAGAGUCUCCUUCUUUACUCUAUCUUGUAGUGUUAGAAUUCAUUCGUUCUAUUGAUCUAGACAUUUUUAGAGAUUAGAGCAAUUUAUUGUAUUCCUUCUAGCUUGUAUUCCUGUGAGUUUCCGGGUUUUGGGAUAAUAUUGUAGGUUUCAGUGAUGUUGAGUUGUACAUGCCGAGCGGCAUCUUAUAUACUGUUUUUCUUCAAGUUGUUCAGUUUGAUUAUUAUUUUUGCAAGUUAGUUAUUUUCCGUAUUGUUGGGCUUACCUAGAGACUAGGUGUCGUCGUGACUG
This 3713-nucleotide long non-coding RNA is filed under the name Nicotiana benthamiana. Its description in RNAcentral is "long non-coding RNA (NBEN_LNC027162)". The record is from RNAcentral. Lineage: Eukaryota; Viridiplantae; Streptophyta; Magnoliopsida; Solanales; Solanaceae.